GUAAGAAUUAGUAGGCUAGUGAUAGACAUUUGAGGACACCAUUCUCUUCUGCCAGGGAGUGACUUGGCACAGCCGCUGGAGAGGAUGAGAAGACCAAGGGGAAGGGAAAGAACAUGUCCUUCUGGUGACUGUGCAGCGGCUCUGGCAGUCAUUGCCUGGGUCCCAGGCUGGGAGCAGACGUGCCAGUUCCAGAGACUGCUUGUGCAGAGGGGAGCCAGCCCCGGAGACGAAUGGGAAGCUAAAUGUUGGUCAACCUUGUGGGCCACCAAAGCCACCACAGUUCUUAUAGAGUCAGCCUAGAUCCACUAGAGAUCAGGCUCCAAAGAGCCUGGAUCCUCAAGGCCUUUGCUCCCGAGCCAAGAAAUUCCUAGCUUUGUUAGUGGUGGGAACAGAGCCAGAGGGAAAUCAGCUUUGCUUAUGAGGUGAGGGAGAGAAGGGAAACUGGGAACUUGGAGGUUAGAAUGAGGCAAGAUUCAGAUGAUUUGUAGGGAAUUCCUCCUGUGGUGGGCACUCAGGAGCCACUUCCAGCUGAGGAGGUAGGGAGCCCCCUUCCUGGAAUCCCAGAGCUUCAUCUCAGAAGCGCAGGCCUUGACUCCAGGGUGGCCUGCCCCAUGCAAGGGAAGUCCUGCCAGUGUGUCAACACCAGAAACUUUGUGGCUGUCAAGGAGGUCUGAGGAAGAAAACCGGGGAGAGGGUGGCGCUGUGGAAAGAGGAAGGAGGAGAAUCUUUGUAUAUUCUGUCCCUUAGGCCUAGAAUGUCCUCCCACAAGCAGCCCGCCAACGCAUGUGCUCUGUCAUGAACCCCUGGAUAUUCUGCAAAUCUAAUGUUUCUCCCCGCGAAACCUUCCCUGUAACUUUUAUUUAGACACUUGGUUCAUUCCUCCUUGGUAUAACAGGAGGAGUUGGGAGAUAUCCAAAUAAAGUGGAGGUAGUCCAGAGCUCCACAGAAGGGAGGCUAGUUCUAAAGUCGGACUAUAUAUUCCAGAAAUUUUGCCAUACCCCCUAAACCUCUGGUUCCAAAUCUGUGGGACCAUGGCACCCUGCUGCCGACUUGCCCUUGUGUAUCAGUGGGUCCCAGUGUUUAGGAAGCCUGAAACAACAAGGCGCUGUGAACACCAAGCCCGGAAACAGCAGCCACAGCUUGCUGCGAGCCUGGCACGGGCCUGACCUCCUUCCUUCCCAAGAGGAAAGGGAGGGCCACCACCUACCCAGGCAGGAUGUGGGGGAGAAACCUGACAUCCUUCGCAGACCUGCUCGCUCGCCCCCGAACCUGCCCUCAUCGGCUCCACCUGCUCUCCUGAAGGUAGCCUGGACUCAGCGCUCUGAGAGGCGUCCUGCAGAGCGCGCGGAAAAUGUGGCUUUUGCAGGGCUGGGUCUGUCCACCUACUGCAGUGCCCAAAGUCCGAUGCCCUCCACAGUUUGGCCAAAUCUACUUUGCCGGCCUCGUCUCCGCGAUUUCCUCCCUGGGGUAGACUAGGGUUAGAGCCGGACGGGUGGGGAGCCGAGGCAAACAAACAACUCUGGGCGUGUCAGCCCCGCCCCGACCAGGGCACUGCCGAGUCGGGAUUGGCUGAUGUCGCCUGUAUUCUGGUUGGUCGGGGGAGGGUGCUCAUUCACAGGGAGCGCUGCUCCACUCGGGCUGGAAGUUUCCUACGCUGCUUCGCUUUCUGCACUCUGCACAAAAGUUGUACCACCUUGUAUGUAAACAGAUAAAAUCAAGUUAUCUAAUGUGCCUCCGAAUAUAACGUUGGCCCCUUGAAGGAUGGCCGAAUCUGUCAGCUUGCUGUAUCCUAUUUCUAAAUCACACACGUGAGGCCGAUUAACGGGCUUUCCCGGUGGUUCAGCGGUGAAGAAACAGCCUGCAAGGCAGGAUGACCCAGGAGAUGCGGGUUGGAUC
Bos taurus (domestic cattle) is the source of this 1896-nucleotide long non-coding RNA. The record is from Ensembl. NCBI's taxonomy places the organism in Eukaryota, Metazoa, Chordata, Mammalia, Artiodactyla, Bovidae.